UCAAGCUACUAAGGGCAUACGGCGGAUGCCUAGGCGCCAUCAGCCGAUGAAGGACGCGGUAAGCUGCGAAAAGCUACGGGGAACUGCAAGCAAGUAUUGAUCCGUAGAUGUCCGAAUGGGGAAACCCACCUGCCGUCAUGGGCAGGUAUCCGAAAGGAAGGGAACCCGGGGAACUGAAACAUCUAAGUACCCGGAGGAAGAGAAAUCAAACGAGAUGCCCACAGUAGCGGCGAGCGAAGAGGGCAGAGGGCAAACCGGGGAGCUACGGCUCUCCGGGGUUGAGGACUGCAUUUAGUCUUAAUGGUCUAUCCGAACUACCUGGAAAGGUAGGCAACACAGUGUAAAAGCCACGUAGGUUAAAGACCGGAGAGAUGAGCAGUAUCCAGAGUACCACGAGGCACGAGGAAUCUUGUGGGAAGCCGGGGGGACCACCCUCCAACCCUAAACACUGAAUGGCGACCGAUAGCGCAUAGUACCGUGAGGGAAAGGUGAAAAGAACCCCGGGAGGGGAGUGAAAGAGAACCUGAAACCGUAUGUCUACAAGCAGUCGGAGCGAAAGCGACGGCGUGCCUAUUGAAGAAUGAACCAACGAGUUACGUGCACUAGCGAGGUUAAGUGGAAGACACGGAGCCGAAGCGAAAGCGAGUCUUAAGAGGGCGGAUAGUUAGUGUACGUAGACCCGAAACCGCAGUGAUCUACCCAUGUCCAGGUUGAAGCGCAGGUAAAAUUGCGUGGAGGACCGAACCUGUGAGCGUUGAAAAGCUUUAGGAUGAGAUGUGGGUAGAGGUGAAAUUCCAAUCGAACGCGGAGAUAGCUGGUUCUCCCCGAAAUAGCUUUAGGGCUAGCCUCAAGUAGUAAGUAUAGGCGGUAGAGCACUGAUCGGGCUAGGGGCCAUAAAGGUUACCGAACCCUGUCAAACUCCGAAUGGUUAUACUGUAGAGCUUGGGAGUCAGACUACGAGUGAUAAGAUCCGUGGUCAAAAGGGAAACAGCCCAGACCACCAGCUAAGGUCCCCAAUGUCGUACUAAGUGGAAAAGGAUGUGGGGUCUCUAAAACAACCAGGAUGUUGGCUUAGAAGCAGCCACCAUUUAAAGAGUGCGUAAUAGCUCACUGGUCGAGAGACCCUGCGCCGAAGAUUACCGGGGCUAAAGUACGAAACCGAAGCUGUGGCUACGACUUAGGUCGUGGGGUAGGGGAGCGUUCUGUGAGGGCUGAAGUCGUUCUGUAAGGAACGGUGGACUUCACAGAAGUGAGAAUGUUGGUAUGAGUAGCGAAAAGAAUGGUGAGAAUCCAUUCCACCGAAAGCAUAAGGAUUCCUGGGCAACGAUCGUCGUCCCAGGGUAAGUCGGGACCUAAUCCGAGGCAUGGAGCGUAGGAGAUGGACAACUGGCAGAUAUUCCAGUACCGGUAAUGAUUGUUUGAGCGAUGGAGUGACACAGGAGGGCAGGCAGGCAGGAGAUUGGUUGUUCCUGUACAAGCGUGUAGGAUGGGACGUAGGCAAAUCCGCGUCCUGUGAGUCUGAGGCGUGAUGUGGAGGUUCCGGAAACGGAACUGAAGCUGCUGACCCCACACUGUCGAGAAAAGCUUCUAGUUAGAGAAUUACCGCCCGUACCGUAAACCGACACAGGUAUGCGGGGAGAGAAUCCUAAGGUGCGCGGGAGAACCCUCGUUAAGGAACUCGGCAAAAUGUACCCGUAACUUCGGGAUAAGGGUAGCCGCUGUUGUGAAGUCUGCACAGACGGAGCAUGAGGCGGUCGCAGAGAAGAGGCCCAAGCGACUGUUUACCACAAACACAGGUGCCUGCUAAAGAGAAAUCUGACGUAUAGGUGCUGACACCUGCCCAGUGCCGGAAGGUUAAGGAAGGAUGUCCGGAGCAAUCCAAAGCAUUCGACCGAAGCCCCGGUGAACGGCGGCCGUAACUAUAACGGUCCUAAGGUAGCGAAAUUCCUUGUCGGGUAAG
This 1960-nucleotide ribosomal RNA is filed under the name human gut metagenome. Its description in RNAcentral is "bacterial LSU rRNA". It matches the Rfam family "Bacterial large subunit ribosomal RNA", at positions 3 to 1980 of the family's 2925-position model. The record is from RNAcentral.